UGGGGUUUCAAAGAGCCUUUGUUUCUCCCGGCAUUCGCGUUCUUUUGGUGCACUUUCUCGUUUGUAGGUUAGCAUCGGUUUCGACCGUUAUAAAAUGAUCGGAGGGAUGUAGCUUCGAUUUCGAUUGAAGUGUUAUAACCUUUGGUAGAUGUAACUGUCGGGACCGAGGAUUGCAACGGAUACCCUAACGGGCUAUUCGUCUGGCCUCUGAUACGACACUUCGGCGUCGAAAGCUUGCUUACGAUGUUGAAGCGUUCGGUCAAAAGGUUAGAACGGAUUAAUUCGUUAAGGGAUGUUGACGUA
RNAcentral lists this ribosomal RNA (303 nucleotides) under uncultured Glomeromycotina. Its description in RNAcentral is "eukaryotic LSU rRNA". Lineage: Eukaryota; Fungi; Glomeromycota. The record is from RNAcentral.